CCUACGGGAGGCAGCAGUGGGGAAGUAUUGGACAAUGGGCGAAAGCCUGAUCCAGCAAUGCCGCGUGAGUGAUGAAGGCCUUAGGGUCGUAAAGCUCUUUUACCCGGGAUGAUAAUGACAGUACCGGGAGAAUAAGCCCCGGCUAACUCCGUGCCAGCAGCCGCGGUAAUACGGAGGGGGCUAGCGUUGUUCGGAAUUACUGGGCGUAAAGCGUGCGUAGGCGGUUAUUCAAGUCAGAGGUGAAAGCCCGGGGCUCAACCCCGGAACGGCCUUUGAAACUAGGUAGCUAGAAUCUUGGAGAGGUCAGUGGAAUUCCGAGUGUAGAGGUGAAAUUCGUAGAUAUUCGGAAGAACACCAGUGGCGAAGGCGACUGACUGGACAAGUAUUGACGCUGAGGCACGAAAGCGUGGGGAGCAAACAGGAUUAGAUACCCUGGUAGUCCACGCCGUAAACGAUGAUAACUAGCUGUUCGGGUACUUGGUAUCUGAGUGGCGCAGCUAACGCAUUAAGUAUCCGCCUGGGGAGUACGGUCGCAAGNUUAAAACUCAAAGGAAUUGACGGCNGAGACNGCGAGACGACACGAGGAGAG
Molecule: ribosomal RNA, 589 nt
Filed under: uncultured bacterium
Lineage: Bacteria
Description: bacterial SSU rRNA
Rfam family: Bacterial small subunit ribosomal RNA
Source: RNAcentral